This 396-nucleotide ribosomal RNA is filed under the name uncultured bacterium. RNAcentral's name for it is "partial 16S ribosomal RNA". It matches the Rfam family "Bacterial small subunit ribosomal RNA", at positions 523 to 918 of the family's 1533-position model. The record is from RNAcentral.
AUACGUAGGGAGCGAGCGUUGUCCGGAAUUACUGGGUGUAAAGGGAGCGUAGGCGGGAGUGCAAGUCAGAUGUGAAAUGCAUGGGCUUAACCCAUGAGCUGCAUUUGAAACUGCAUUUCUUGAGUGAAGUAGAGGUAAGCGGAAUUCCUGGUGUAGCGGUGAAAUGCGUAGAUAUCAGGAGGAACACCGGUGGCGAAGGCGGCUUACUUGGCUUUUACUGACGCUGAGGCUCGAAAGCGUGGGGAGCAAACAGGAUUAGAUUCCCUGGUAGUCCACGCUGUAAACGAUGAUUACUAGGUGUGGGGGGACUGACCCCUUCCGUGCCGCAGUUAACACAAUAAGUAAUCCACCUGGGGAGUACGGCCGCAAGGUUGAAACUCAAAUGAAUUGGCGGGG